Molecule: long non-coding RNA, 1192 nt
Organism: Poecilia latipinna (sailfin molly)
Lineage: Eukaryota; Metazoa; Chordata; Actinopteri; Cyprinodontiformes; Poeciliidae
Exons: 2
Source: RefSeq, a predicted model, not a curated record
UUCAACACGGUCCUAUUGGUGCUAUGGCCCUGAUCGUUUUGCAUUGGGCAGGAUACGUCACUUAAAUUGACGUGCUGCUAAAGCUACCGAGGCGAUCGCCAUAGCGACCGCAGGACAGUUUUCUUCUUGGGUCUCCCUUCCCACUUUGUCUGCAUGCGCUGAUGAGCGAGGAGGCUGAGGGAAACAUUUACCUCAGCUUUACAUUUAACGAAGAAAAAAACAAUCUCAUCUGAAUGUGGUGCUGGUCAGAGGUGUGAUGAUGAUGAUGAUGAAGCCUCUCCCUGGUUUCAGUCUGAGCUCAGAGAUCAAAUCUUUGGUUCUUGUUGAACUCUUUGUUGGAUGUGAUGCAGCUUCUCCUUUUUAAUGUUUGUAUUUCUGGAUAUCACAGUGAGGCCACAGCAGGUUUUCAGCAGCAGGUUGUUUAGUGUUUCAUUCCUUCAUCUGUGUGGAUGGAGCAGGUAUCCAGGUGUUGAUCAGAGUUUAGACUGAUUGGAUUUUAAUGGUGAUUAUUAAAUCAGGUUGAGCUUCCAGAAAUCUUUCCUGAUGUCCUUUUAGGCUUCAGUGAGUUUCUUCAGGUUGUUGCUGAGGGAUUUCCUUUCUCCUCUCUGUUGGAGCUGCAGCAGCACCAACUGUCCUUCCUACAUCCACUGCAGUUUUCAUCAUCAUUAUCGUCAUAGUCCAGCUUUAUACGACAAGUGGACGUGUCCAAAUGUUGGACUGUCUCAGUGGAGGACAGUGUGUUUUACAUGUAAUGUCCAUGUUUGCUGCUGAAAGAGGCUGAUGGUCUGACCCCCUCCUCCUUUCAGGGUGGAGCCUGCUGGAGGCCGAUGGUUGACACCAGGUCUGAGGAAGUAUUCCUGUCAACUCACCAUCGACACAAACUCAAUGAAUCAAUACCUCAAAGUUUGUGAAGACAACAGGAAGGUGACACGUGUGAAGGAGUGUCAGUCAUAUCCUGAUCAUCCAGACAGAUUUGAUCAUCAUCACAAUGUCCUGUGUGGAACUGGUCUGACUGGUCGCUGUUACUGGGAGGUCGAGUGGACAGGAGGAGUUGAUAUAGCAGUGAGUUACAGAGGAAUCAGGAGGAAAGGAGAGAGUAGAGAUUGUGUGUUUGGAGAGAACGAUCACUCCUGGUGUCUGUACUGCUCUAAUGAUGGUCACUUUGUCAGGCACGAUAACAUGAGAACAUAUC